RNAcentral lists this ribosomal RNA (425 nucleotides) under uncultured bacterium. RNAcentral's name for it is "bacterial SSU rRNA". It matches the Rfam family "Bacterial small subunit ribosomal RNA", at positions 355 to 777 of the family's 1533-position model. The record is from RNAcentral.
UGAGGAAUAUUGGUCAAUGGCCGAGAGGCUGAACCAGCCAAGUAGCGUGAAGGAUGACUGCCCUACGGGUUGUAAACUUCUUUUAUACGGGAAUAAAGUCCGCUACGAGUAGCGGUUUGUAUGUACCGUACGAAUAAGCAUCGGCUAAUUCCGUGCCAGCAGCCGCGGUAAUACGGAAGAUGCGAGCGUUAUCCGGAUUUAUUGGGUUUAAAGGGAGCGUAGGCGGGAUGUUAAGUCAGUUGUGAAAGUUUGCGGCUCAACCGUAAAAUUGCAGUUGAUACUGGCGUCCUUGAGUGCGGCAGAGGAAGGCGGAAUUCGUGGUGUAGCGGUGAAAUGCUUAGAUAUCACGAAGAACUCCGAUUGCGAAGGCAGCUUUCUGGACCGUAACUGACGCUGAUGCUCGAAAGUGCGGGUAUCAAACAGGA